GCCAGCCUCAGCAAAAACGAGGUCCUAAGCAACUCAAUAUGACUCUGUCUCUGAAUAAAAUCCAAAAUAGGUCUGGGAAUAUGGCUUAGUGGUCAAGUGCCCCUGAGUUCAAUCCUUGGUAAUACCCUUCCCCCCCAAAAAAAAAUCUGAGAUAAUAAACUCGAAAAGUAGAAGGUUUAUUUUGGUUCAGUUUUGGAGGUUGUAGUCCACGGUUUGUUGGCCCCAUUGCUUUUAGGCCUGUGGCAAGGCUGUCCAUCAUAGAAGGGAGCACGUAGCAGAGGAAGGCCGAAGGCCCUUUGCUUUGUAAAGAUCAAAGAAAGAGAAAAACAAAGGGGUGGGAUCCCACUAUCCCCAGUGACCUAAAAGUUCCCAUAGACCCCACCUCUUAGAGGUUCCACUACCUCCCAGUAGUGCCAAGUUUAGGACCAAGUUUUAAUACAUGGACCUUUGGAAGACAAUUUCAAGCUGUUGUGCCCUUCAAAUAGAGAUGGUGAUUACAGACAUCAAUGCAAGACUCUUAGUAAAUAAACAUUGAAUCUUGCUUGGUUUUAGGAAAAGAUUUCUAGUUCUGGCUCUGUUAUAGAAUGAUCAUCCAGUCACCCAUUGUGGUACAAAGUUAUAGAGUCUGAAUGCUAUGGUUACUGAUUGAAAGAUAUCUAACUAUAAGACUCAAAUCAUUGCUAUUACAUAAAAGGCAGGGUGUCAGUGUAAUAGAAGUUCUCACUGGGUUUGCCACAUUUGUUCUACUAACCACAAAGGGAAAGAGAUGUUUCUCUCAAAUGGGAAACCUAGACUGAGUGGCUCAGUGGUAGAGUGCUUGCCUCAUAUGUGUGAGGCACUGGGCUCAAUUCUCAGCACCAUAUAUAAAUAAAUUAAUAAAAUAGAGGUCCAUCAACAC
Molecule: long non-coding RNA, 898 nt
Filed under: Marmota monax (woodchuck)
Lineage: Eukaryota; Metazoa; Chordata; Mammalia; Rodentia; Sciuridae
Source: RNAcentral